UGGGAAUUUUGGACAAUGGACGCAAGUCUGAUCCAGCCAUGCCGCGUGCGGGAAGAAGGCCUUCGGGUUGUAAACCGCUUUUGUCAGGGAAGAAACGAGUUUCUCUAAUACAGAGACUUAAUGACGGUACCUGAAGAAUAAGCACCGGCUAACUACGUGUCAGCAGCCGCGGUAAUACGUAGGGUGCAAGCGUUAAUCGGAAUUACUGGGCGUAAAGCGUGCGCAGGCGGUUAUGCAAGACAGAGGUGAAAUCCCCGGGCUCAACCUGGGAACUGCCUUUGUGACUGCAUAGCUAGAGUACGGUAGAGGGGGAUGGAAUUCCGCGUGUAGCAGUGAAAUGCGUAGAUAUGCGGAGGAACACCGAUGGCGAAGGCAAUCCCCUGGACCUGUACUGACGCUCAUGCACGAAAGCGUGGGGAGCAAACA
Molecule: ribosomal RNA, 426 nt
Filed under: uncultured bacterium
Lineage: Bacteria
Description: bacterial SSU rRNA
Rfam family: Bacterial small subunit ribosomal RNA
Source: RNAcentral